Molecule: long non-coding RNA, 2886 nt
Organism: Magnolia sinica
Lineage: Eukaryota; Viridiplantae; Streptophyta; Magnoliopsida; Magnoliales; Magnoliaceae
Exons: 2
Source: RefSeq, a predicted model, not a curated record
UUGUAGAAGAUUUUAUGAGAAGAAAUCAUUAGAAAAUUGAAAACCAGUUCCUGCCAAUACAAUAUCAAGUGCUGAUUUGUGGUAAACUCAUCCAAUGUAAAUGGGGUAUUUUGAUCUUUCAAAAAAAAAAGGAAAAAAUGAAGAAGGAAAACGCGGAUUAUAAGGCCAUAAUGAUCCCGCUUUGACACGCACUAUGUGGAUUGCCAGACUAAAUGUCCAUUGGGUCCAAAAUCAGGAAAGUAAAAUGAAAUGGUUACUAUCAGAGUGUGUGCAUGGCCUAUUCUCCAUCAUUGAUGAGGCUGAAGAUUUUUACAGUCUAGAUUGCUUUCAUUUAUGUUAUGUGUUUCUUGUAUGAGUCACCAUCUUUCAGUACUUUACAGUAAACAUGAAUUGAAUGUCCAUCAGACAAUGCAUUGUGAAGGAUUCAAAUCAUAUUCAUUUAACAAUGAUAACUCGAGUGCAAUACAAGAAGGAUUUUGUGAUCUUCUUUUAAAAUUUGCAGUGCUGAAUUUCCUUACUUGGCAUCCCUGUUAUCAUCAAGAUCUGCCACUCGAAGACCACCAAGAGUAGAGCUACUUUGUGUAAAACAUGAAUUGAAUUUUCCGAAACCCAUGUUUCCUCUCUGUUGAAACAAGUAGGAGUAUUUCUACAGCGGCAGAGUCUUGUUUGGUUGAGAUUGAUCUUUUCUUGGGGUUGAUGGGGUGGAUCUAUCGAAUCCUAAGAGAAAUGGUAGUUUUGCGCAAUAGACGACCGUUAGUCAAUCUCUUGUAGUUAAUCAUGUUUGGCAGAGCUGCAUGUAGGUUUAUUCUUAGGAGAUUUGAGGAUACAAAUAUUUGAUGAAAGCACAUCAAGGAGAACAUGCAUUUCCCCCCAUUGUUGGCUAACCUGGCCAAUCAAGAGGAAGCAAGAUGCAUUAGAAAUUUUCAUCUCUCAUGGAUAAGCUCUACUCAACAAACCUACCCAAGAUCAUGAUAUGGCAUUCAGAAUCCUCUAGACUCAUAAAAUUUAGACUGGGAACAUAGUAAGAUAGAGGUUCUAGAAAUACACAGAUUGCAAUCACUUAAGACUACCUUGAUCUUUCUAUGAUUAUAUCAAUAUUAUCUGUUACAGGAAAAUGAUGGGGCUUAAGACUAAUAAAAGUUAUAAAUCAUAGUUCUCAAGAAGUUUUGCCAUGGAGGCCUGUCCCUUUGGUCACACCAUUUUUGGUGAUCCUGACUUUUCAUCUAGCAGGGCCCACCAUGUAUGGCUACAUGACUAAAAUGUUGCUGCUGCCAAUCCACUUAUAUGAUGCCCUCAGCAUCGAUAGGGCGGACACACACCAAAACAUAAAUUUAUAUUUAGAUAUUUGAACCCCUUGGGAUAGAAAUUUCUGCCGGGAGAAUUCAUAACAGGGAAGUUCCAUGAGGAGAGAAAUGAGAGUCUCGAGAGAAAGGGGUAAAUCUAAGGGAGGGAGGGGGAGAGUCUCAAGAGAAAGGGGGAAAUCUAGGGGAGGAAGACACCAUUCGAUUGGAGAUAGGGAGCAUUUCAUUGCUGGAAAGAGGAAGGUCACUUGGACUCCUAUCGUUGGAAGGAAGACAUCACGCUUCAGGAUUCUUAUAGUCUCUUCGUCAACAACCUGCCUUCUGCUUUCUCGGAGGGGGAAGUGCAAGAUAUCUUCGGCAAGUAUGGUGUAAUCACGGAUGUUCUCAUCCCCAAACAUCCAGAUUUGAAUAGACCGAGGGAUUUCACCUUCCUCAGAUUCCUUUAUGAGGACGAAGCGAAUGCGUCAAAGGGAGUGCUGGAUGGGAGGAGAAUUGAUGGUAGGAUUGUAACGGUGAAGGAAACCAAUCCGUAGCAAUCUCAGAAGCUCGGUCUCAGGAGCGAGGUGAUGCCAGAUCAGAAACAGGGGAUUCUGUGUUGAUUCAUCAUAAGACCGGGGUUUUGAUCUUGGUGGACGGGAAGAUCGUUACACCAAUCUAUGAAGCCUUCUAAGCUGGAGGCCUGGUCACCAGCUAUUGUGGUGGGUAGUCAAGCGAUCUGGAUUCGGAUCUUUGGUGUUUCAGUCCACGCUUGGGACGAGGCAGUACUCCUGGAGAUCACAUCAAAAUUUGGGCAUGUUAUUUCCAGGUUGAUUGUUCUUUGAGUUCGGGAGAUCAGAGCAGGAUGCAGCAGCUGAUGGGGACCAAGGAGUGGGUUGAACGCUCCUAUCAGAAUGGUUCACCCGAGCCCCUUGUCAGAAAUGGGUUUAGCAAUCUCCUCCAGCUGGAUAUCCAGGAGGGAAACGAGGCUUGCAGUGGCCCAUCAGAUCUUUGUGUAAAGUCCAGUGAGAAAUCAGAUUAGCUUCCACCGGUCAGGCUUUGGAAUCUACCAAGGAUGGAGCUGCAGCGUCACUGGAGGAUCCCCACUGGAGAAGCAGUGAUCAGGCCAGAAAUUGCUCCAUUUAAAUCGAAUGACAGUGGCAGAGCUGGAGAUGCAGGGGUUGGUGUGACUUUCUGUGUGUGUGUCGCGCUCUCUCCGAUGCUCUCAGAGCACUAUAAAUUAUAGUGCCCUAGUUGCAUUGGGACACUUGGAUAGUCCAAUCCAUUGAUCUAGACUUUUCAGUAGGUCCAACUUAUAUUUCAUGGGCAACCAUGAAAACAUCACUCUGGUUUGACAAAUAUGAAUCAUUUGAUCAAUGAUCUUAAACAUGGGUGGUUGAGAUCAUUUAUAGUGUUCUAAGAGCACUUGUGCAUUUCUCAAUACUUUUAUCACACAUACAUAGAACACAUGAAGUGGAGUAUUUUCUUGACCCUGAUUGGUCUGCAUUGAGAUGUUCAAAUUCUUUUAUCCCAAGCACAGUAUCUUCCUGUCUAAUCUUUCCCAUCUCUUUGAGCUUUCAUAUAUGACAAACUAGGCACACUUGAAAUG